Molecule: long non-coding RNA, 810 nt
Organism: Nicotiana attenuata
Lineage: Eukaryota; Viridiplantae; Streptophyta; Magnoliopsida; Solanales; Solanaceae
Exons: 2
Source: RefSeq, a predicted model, not a curated record
CUACCACUUGAGAAAGAAUUCUCUCCCUCUCUAGAAUUGGCUUAACAAUCAUAUUAGAAGCGCACAUGGGACCGCAAUAUGCAGACAUAUAAUUAUUCUUAAUAGUAUAUACUCUAUGUAUUAUAUUAAAGCUUAUUCUUGUGACAUGCUUGUAUAGCUUCAUAAAUCUCAUAUCAUAUUUAAGAUUACUAGUUUUACAAAAAAUUAUAGAAGAGGAGAAUUUAUUUAGUAGUAGAAACUUUUUGGCUCUUGAAUAAAGGAAAAGAAGUGAUUCAAUCUGAUGUAAAGGGUCUCUUUCUAUGAUCAGUCUUUCUCCUCCUCUCAUUCUUUUUGCUUUCUCAUUGAUCUAUCUUUCCUUUCUCGGGUCUUACCUGCUUUAAAUAAACUGUACCUAACUGCAGUUGCAGUUGUACUACAUUUAUUUAUUUGUUCCCUAUCUACUUUGAUUUUCUUGAACGGCUAGUCUCUAUUUAUUCGGGCUAUAGUAUGCUGGUUAGAGACUUUAAUUAAAUGUCUGUUUGACUGGUCAACUGAAAUAUAUCUUUGCCCUUUUCCAUGAAAUGAAUGCAAUUUUAUUUAGCAAUUUUACUUCUGUAUGGUAAAAUUAAGCUUGUUUACAUUGUAGGUGGAGGUGGUAGCCAAGCUAUAGCACGGUAUAUAAUUUUUCAAUUCAAGAUGUAUCCUCAUAAUACAAAUAUUGUUGUUGUUACAAUUUUAAUUACCAUAUUGAAUAAUGGAAUUGCAAUUUAUAUCAUGUUAAUCUUUGUUUAAAGAUUCACAAAAUAAGAACAAACUCAGAUUUUUCUAUUA